CGGGGAUACGCAGGCUCCCCGUUAAAUGGUCAUCCCAUUCAAGCGCUGC
This 49-nucleotide non-coding RNA is filed under the name unclassified sequences. RNAcentral describes it as "chromate-resist RNA". It matches the Rfam family "chrB-b RNA". The record is from RNAcentral.